AUGGAGGAGGCUGGGAGCGACGAUCGCAUCAGCGGCCUCUCCGACGACCUCCUGCGCGACAUCCUCCUCCGCCUCCGUUCGCUCCCCGCCGCCGCGCGGACCGGCAUCCUCUCCCGCCGCUGGCGCCACGUCUGGACCAGCAUCCCCGAGCUCGUCAUCGACGAGCUCCACGUGGCGGGCCGGCCGCCGAGCUCCUUCCUGCGCGCCGUGGAAGGCGCCCUCGCCGCCUACUCCGCCUCCAACGUCGACGUCGCCGCGCUCACCAUCGCCGUGCCCGACGUCAGGCUCUGCCGAAUCGAAGCUCGCCGCGUCUCCUCGUGGCUGCGCGUCGCCUCGGAGCGCGUCGCCGGCACGCUGUCCCUCGCCCUGCCCCGCUCAGAGCCCAUCACCAUCACCCACGGCCACGGACAGGAGGUCGAACUGCCCCCGUGCGGGAGGGCGACGGAGAUCGCGCUCUCCCUCGCGGGGGCGUUCGUGCUCCGGCUCCGGCCGGCGGCCUCGUUCGCGGCGCUCACCGUGCUGACGAUACAGUCGGCCGCCAUGGACGGGCGGGAGCUCGGGGCGUUCGUGUCGUCCAUGUGCCCGCGCCUGACGGACCUCACCCUGCGCGUUAGCCUCGUGGCCUGCUCGGACGUCUCCAUCCGCUCCGCCUCUCUCAGGCGCCUAGAGUUCGGGGCCGGGUGCGCCCAGCGGCUCGGGGUCGCCGCCCCCAUGCUCGAGGUGCUCGUCGCGUCUUUCCUCCACCACGCUCACAUCUCGGCCCCGAGGCUCGCCGAGGCCAAGGUCCAGCGCCUGCACCGGCACCACUUCGCCGACGACGUGCCUCGUCGUCUCCGGCGGCUGGACAUCACGCAGCUGUACCUAAACGCGGUGGCGCCCCCGAGGGCGCGGCGGUUCGAUGCGGUCGACGAGCUGAGAUUGUCUGCCCUCAUUGGAAUGGAGGGGUAUACUAGCUUCUUGGACGAUGUAAACAAUCUUCCCGAAGAUCCAUGCUCGACGGCUUGUCCAUGUCGCUUGCCGGAGAGUUACAGAGCCAACAAUAUGACCCUCGAUUCACUUGAAGAGAUAGAGAUCAAUACGUUCAUGGGAGAAGAUGACCAGGUGGAAUUCUUAGAGAUGCUAGUAUCCAGAUGCAGUGCAACAAGACCUAUAAAUGUGGUGCUCAACAAGUCGUACCUUGUUCCUUUACCAACCAAGAAAGUUUCAGAGAUGAUCCGCAGCAUUUCUCGUCCGAAUCUCAGAGUCAGAUUACAUUAA
This 1257-nucleotide ribosomal RNA is filed under the name Triticum aestivum (bread wheat). RNAcentral's name for it is "partial small subunit ribosomal RNA". The record is from RNAcentral. Lineage: Eukaryota; Viridiplantae; Streptophyta; Magnoliopsida; Poales; Poaceae.